GCGCCCUUAGCUCAGUUGGAUAGAGUGUUGGUUUCCGAAGCCAAAGGUCGCUGGUUCGAAUCCAGCAGGGCGCGCCA
This 77-nucleotide transfer RNA is filed under the name Betaproteobacteria bacterium. RNAcentral describes it as "tRNA-Arg". It matches the Rfam family "tRNA". From Rfam's summary of the family: Transfer RNA (tRNA) molecules are approximately 80 nucleotides in length. The record is from RNAcentral. Lineage: Bacteria; Pseudomonadati; Pseudomonadota; Betaproteobacteria.